Molecule: transfer RNA, 65 nt
Filed under: Primeuchroeus sp. M48
Lineage: Eukaryota; Metazoa; Arthropoda; Insecta; Hymenoptera; Chrysididae
Description: tRNA-Ala
Source: RNAcentral
AGGGUAUUAAUUUAAUUUAAAAUUUUAAAAUUGCAUUUUGAAAAUAGUGUAUUUACUAUAUCUUA